GGAGGGGUGCCUGAGUGGUUAAAAGGGGCGGACUGUAAAUCCGCUGGCUUCGGUCUACAUAGGUUCAAAUCCUAUCCCCUCCACCA
RNAcentral lists this transfer RNA (86 nucleotides) under Pseudobdellovibrionaceae bacterium. Its description in RNAcentral is "Bdellovibrionaceae bacterium (sponge metagenome) tRNA-Tyr". It matches the Rfam family "tRNA". Rfam says of the family: Transfer RNA (tRNA) molecules are approximately 80 nucleotides in length. Their secondary structure includes four short double-helical elements and three loops (D, anti-codon, and T loops). Lineage: Bacteria; Pseudomonadati; Bdellovibrionota; Bdellovibrionia; Bdellovibrionales; Pseudobdellovibrionaceae. The record is from RNAcentral. RNAcentral also lists the same sequence under 1 other name.